UUAGGGAAUCAAUUGAAUGUAUUACACCGAAGCGCGGGGAUGAUCCGAUUAUUACGUAAACGUCGUUCUCCAGUCAGUUAAUGUGAUUGCAUUGAUGCAACAAUGUAAAAGACCUAUAAAUGAAAGUGCUUUCAGCAGAGCGGUUCAUAACCAAACUGAACAUUUGUCUGCUGCACCACCGACUUUAAGAUUGGGCCUGGUCUGGAAGGUGAACUGACAUACGAGUUUACCUUCCAGACCCUGGUAAGUAGAAGACCACCCUGAUUCUGUUUUUUUCAGCACAUAAUCUUAAAAAAAAUUGUCUGACAACCCAGUUUGCCUCCCUCAGGGCCAUCCAGCACUGGCUGGUAAAUGGACGUAUCAUCAGGGCCCCAAGAGUGCGUUGCUUCUGACCCCUGAAAUCUACAAUGCAACAUUUUACACUACCGACUUUAAGACUGGGUCUGGUCUGGAAGGUCAACUUGCGUACAAGUUGACCUUCCAGACCCUGGUAAGUAGAAUACCACCCUGAUCCUGGGUUUUCUUCAGCACACACUCUUAUAGCUAAAUUAGUUUUUUUCAGUUAAUUAAUGGGAAGGGAAAAUGUAUAACAUUCGCUGCAAAGACCCAAUUUUGUUCUCUGAGUAAUUUGGACCCAAACUAAAAUCGGUUUAGCUUCAGCAUAACAUUUGAAGUCCAUCCACCUCUAUAUCUCUUUCAGUAAUGUCUAAAAGUAAAAGGCUUCUUGCUGUUGGGUAUUAUACCAAAUCUUCAGAUGAAGAGUCCUGCUCAAGUGUCAUCCGUUCUGCUAACUCCUGCUAAUGUAUGUGUUCUCUGAGUGUUGUGUAGCUGCAGCAACAGGUGACCACCAUCCGUAACCAGCUUCAUCCUGCUCCCAGAGUAGUGAUACCCACACCUGAUACACAAAUACCAAUAAGCCAUGGAAAAACCAACAAAGGGCGUGCCUAAUGUCAGAGAUGAACGCUGCUCGGAACACUAAAUCAAAUGCUGACAACCUAGAGGACACACUGGAGACGUGCAUGUGAAAGCUGCCAGAUAGUGGUAGGGACAGAGGCAUCUUUUGGGGCUUUCAUGUGUCUGAAGAAACCUGUCUCUCUCUCUGCCUCGUCUUUCUCUCUCAGAAUCCCACUGCAGUGUAUUCCUAUGCUGAUCUCGGUGUCCUCGGCAAAAGGGGUCAUCUGUAUUACACCUGUGGAUGACACUUCCGGGUUCAUGGCAAGACUGCUUCCAAUGGGGUGUAUCAGCUAUCUGCCUCAAGUUGUGUGUGUGCGUGUCUGUGUGUGUGUAUAUGUAUACUUGUGAGCACCAUGACCAAUCAGCAAAAAUCAAGAAACUGGGACAUUUUGGUGGUCCUAUUCUGCAAUUUGGAAACAUCAAUGAUAAUGUGUGUUGACCAAAAUAUUGAACUUUUUUUUUAUGUAUUGUAGAUAUACACUCACCUAAAGGAUUAUUAGGAACACCAUACUAAUACUGUGUUUGACCCCCUUUCACCUUCAGAACUGCCUUAAUUAUACGUGGCAUUGAUUCAACAAGGUGCUGAAAGCAUUCUUUAGAAAUGUUGGCCCAUAUUGAUAGGAUAACAUCUUGCAGUUGAUGGAGAUUUGUGGGAUGCACAUCCAGCGCACGAAGCUCCCGUUCCACCACAUCCCAAAGAUGCUCUAUUGGGUUGAGAUCUGGUGACUGUGUUGGCCAUUUCAGUACAGUGAACUCAUUGUCAUGUUCAAGAAACCAAUUUGAAAUGAUUCAAGCUUUGUGACGUGCAUUAUCCUGCCGGAAGUAGCCAUCAGAAGAUGAGUACAUGGUGUUCAUAAAGGGAUGGACAUGGUCAGAAACAAUGCUCAGGUAGGCCGUGGCAUUUAAACGAUGUCCAAUUGGCAGUAAGGGGCCUAAAGUCUGCCAAGAAAAGCCCCACACCAUUACACCACCACCAGCACAGUGGUAACAAGGCAUGAUGGAUCCAUGUUCUCAUUCUGUUUACGCCAAAUUCUGACUCUACCAUCUGAAUGUCUCAACAGAAAUCGAGACUCAUCAGACCAGGCAACAUUCUUACAGUCUUCAACUGUCCAAUUUUGGUGAGCUUGUGCAAACUGUAGCCUCUUUUUCCUAUUUGUAGUGGAGAUGGUACCCGGUAGGGUCUUCUGCUGUUGUAGCCCAUCCGCCUCAAGGUUGUGCGUGUUGUGGCUUCACAAAUGCUUUGCUGCAUACCUCGGUUGUAACGAGUGGUUAUUUCAGUCAAAGUUGCUCUUCUAUCAGCUUGAAUCAGUCGGCCCAUUCUCCUCUGACUUCUAGCAUCAACAAGGCAUUUUCGCCCACAGGACUGCCGCAUACUGGAUGUUUUUCCCUUUUCACACCAUUCUUUGUAAACCCUAGAAAUGGUUGUGCGUGAAAAUCCCAGUAACUGAGCAGAUUGUGAAAUACUCAGACCAGCCCGUCUGGCACCAACAACCAUGCCACGCUCAAAACUGCUUAAAUCACCUUCCUUUCCCAUUCUGACAUUCAGUUUGGAGUUCAGGAGAUUGUCUUGACCAGGACCACACCCCUAAAUGCAUUGAAGCAACUGCCAUGUGAUUAGUUGAUUAGAUAAUUGCAUUAAUGAGAAAUUGAACAGGUGUUCCUAAUAAUCCUUUAGGUGAGUCUAUUUAUAUAUCUAAUGGCUUAAGAUUAUUCUUAAACUUUCUUAUCCGGUGCAGCCAGAAGAGGACUGGCCCCUCAGAGUCUGGUUCCUCUCUAGGUUUCUUCCAAGGUUUUUGACCCUACUUGGGAGUUUUUCCUAGCCACUGAGCACAAUGUAUUGUUAUUGCUUGCUCUUUGGGGUUUCUAUGCUGGGUAUCUGUGCAUUUUGUGAUAACAGACAAUAUAAAAAUGGCUUUAUAAAAUAAAGUUUGUUGCUUGUUUGCAUGCAAAGUUGUUUUUCCUUCAUUCAAAAU
This is a long non-coding RNA of Esox lucius (northern pike), 2927 nucleotides long. The record is from Ensembl. Lineage: Eukaryota; Metazoa; Chordata; Actinopteri; Esociformes; Esocidae.